UCGAGUCUCCCAUCUAAUGCUCGAUCCACCUCCAUCUGGAGCUCCAUCUCUCUUUGAGCUCCUUCUAGCUCUUGAAGCUCCACGUCGCAUUGGGCUCUCUAUCAGGUAGUAAUAUUCUCUCAUCCUCUUCUUUUCCUCUAGAAUAAUCCCAUCAUCAUGCACUGCCUUCAGGAUUCCUUCACCAGCUAUCAUCUUGUAGCCUCUCGAAUCC
This 211-nucleotide long non-coding RNA is filed under the name Elaeis guineensis (African oil palm). Its description in RNAcentral is "long non-coding RNA (EGUI_LNC058010)". Lineage: Eukaryota; Viridiplantae; Streptophyta; Magnoliopsida; Arecales; Arecaceae. The record is from RNAcentral.